UGCGUAGGCGGCGCGGUAAGUCGGGUGUGAAAUCUCGGAGCUUAACUCCGAAACUGCAUUCGAUACUGCCGUGCUUGAGGACUGGAGAGGAGACUGGAAUUUACGGUGUAGCGGUGAAAUGCGUAGAUAUCGUAAGGAAGACCAGUGGCGAAGGCGGGUCUCUGGACAGUUCCUGACGCUGAGGCACGAAGGCCAGGGGGAGCAAACG
Molecule: ribosomal RNA, 208 nt
Filed under: uncultured bacterium
Lineage: Bacteria
Description: partial 16S ribosomal RNA
Rfam family: Bacterial small subunit ribosomal RNA
Source: RNAcentral